GAUGAACGCUGACAGAAUGCUUAACACAUGCAAGUCGAUGGGGAAGUGGUGCUUGCACCAUGGUAACCAUGGCGGACGGGUGAGUAACGCGUAAGGAACUUACCUGCGGGACCGGGAUAACAGCAGGAAACUGCUGACAAGACCGGAUAAGGUCAUUAAGCUGCAUAGCUUAGUGAUGAAAGGAGACGCCUGCGGAGAGCCUUGCGUCCUAUUAGCUAGUUGGAGGGGUAACGGCCCACCAAGGCGAAGAUAGGUAGCCGGCCUGAGAGGGUGGACGGCCACAAGGGGACUGAGAUACGGCCCUUACUCCUACGGGAGGCGGCAGUGGGGAAUAUUGGACAAUGGGGGCAACCUUGAUCCAGCAAUUCUGUGUGCACGAAGACGGUUUUCGGAUUGUAAAGUGCUUUCAGCAGGGAAGAAGGAAGUGACGGUACCUGCAGAAGAAGCGACGGCUAAAUACGUG
Molecule: ribosomal RNA, 463 nt
Filed under: uncultured bacterium
Lineage: Bacteria
Description: partial 16S ribosomal RNA
Rfam family: Bacterial small subunit ribosomal RNA
Source: RNAcentral